GAAUUUGAUGCAGCACAGCAUUUGAUGCUCACAAAGCCUGUAUGAAAUUUGCAGAUUUUGAGGAUGUUAUUAUGUUUUUCCAGAAAUCGAUUGGAUAAGAAUGCACAGGAAAAUAAUAAAACAUUCAACACCUCUUGCAAUCCAGUAUUGCUUUCCUCCCAUCAUCUUCUCAUCUUAACCGGAGCUUGCCCCAUCGAGUCAUCAAACUCAUAAUCAGACCAGCUGUUUUUGCAGGUUAUAGAUUUUUCCUAUACUCUCUUAUCUCAAUUGCUGACAUGCUGCAAUUUUCUGCUCUUGAUUAACAUAUAUUCCCUGUUGCUAUGAAAUUGAAACCAAAGCAAGAACCAUGCUACAUAACCUGUAAAUUUAAUAAGCAUUUAAGCAAUAAUUCUUGGAGUUAAUGGCAAGAAAAUUAUCUUUUGAUCGACGGAGACAAAAGGGUAUCAACAGAAGAGAGUUUUUAAAGAACAAGAGGUUGAUAACAUAGGUUUGACUUCAAAUGUGGAAGUUAGAGAAGCAUAUGAAGGAAGAUGAUGAGAGAGCUCUUAAAUUAUAAUAAUCCAAAUUUGAUUAUCAAUUUUAUGUAAUAACAUUAGUGUUUAAAUUAUAUUAAAACUUUGUUUGGGUGGUGUAGGUCUAAUUUUCUUAAUAUUUUUAUUAAACAAGGUAAUAUGAUUGGUCAGAGCUAACCUUCAUUUUCGUCCCUCUCCUUGUCUGUUACCAUAAAUGGAACAUCAUGGUAAUUGAGUUUGGUACCUAAAGUAAACUAAACCCCUUCAGUUACGGUAUAAGUAAUAAAUUAAUUAUUCAUGUUGAAGAAUUCGUUAA
Jatropha curcas is the source of this 828-nucleotide long non-coding RNA. RefSeq lists it as uncharacterized. NCBI's taxonomy places the organism in Eukaryota, Viridiplantae, Streptophyta, Magnoliopsida, Malpighiales, Euphorbiaceae. The record is from RefSeq and is a predicted model, not a curated record.